CCUACGGGAGGCAGCAGUGGGGAAUAUUGGACAAUGGGGGCAACCCUGAUCCAGCCAUGCCGCGUGUGUGAAGAAGGCCCUCGGGUUGUAAAGCACUUUCAGUGAGGAAGAACGCCUGGUGGUUAAUACCCAUCAGGAAAGACAUCACUCACAGAAGAAGCACCGGCUAACUCCGUGCCAGCAGCCGCGGUAAUACGGAGGGCGCGAGCGUUAAUCGGAAUUACUGGGCGUAAAGCGCGCGUAGGUGGCUUGAUAAGCCGGUUGUGAAAGCCCCGGGCUCAACCUGGGAACGGCAUCCGGAACUGUCAAGCUAGAGUGCAGGAGAGGAAGGUAGAAUUCCCGGUGUAGCGGUGAAAUGCGUAGAGAUCGGGAGGAAUACCAGUGGCGAAGGCGGCCUUCUGGACUGACACUGACACUGAGGUGCGAAAGCGUGGGUAGCAAACAGGAUUAGAUACCCGGGUAGUC
Molecule: ribosomal RNA, 465 nt
Filed under: Vreelandella stevensii
Lineage: Bacteria; Pseudomonadati; Pseudomonadota; Gammaproteobacteria; Oceanospirillales; Halomonadaceae
Description: partial 16S ribosomal RNA
Rfam family: Bacterial small subunit ribosomal RNA
Source: RNAcentral